UUACCAUUUGGACCAACCCCGUUGGUAGAUCAAGUGUAGUAUCUGUUCUUAUUAGUUUAAUAUAUGAUACGUGGGUCAUCGGCCCACAUGAUAUUAAAUUUAUUUUUUGAGGGGGAGGGUUCACUACAGUAGCUUGCUGCUGGGAUCCUCGCAUGUCGCCCAUGCGUUGCACUACUGCACGGGCCUGGCGCUUCCCAC
Molecule: small nuclear RNA, 198 nt
Organism: Neltuma alba
Lineage: Eukaryota; Viridiplantae; Streptophyta; Magnoliopsida; Fabales; Fabaceae
Product: U2 spliceosomal RNA
Exons: 1
Source: RefSeq, a predicted model, not a curated record